AAUCAACGCUGGCGGCGUGCCUCAGACAUGCAAGUCGAACGCGAAAUUUCCCUUCGGGGAGAAAGUAGAGUGGCGCACGGGUGAGUAACACGUAGGUAAUUUGCCUUUGGGUGGGGAAUAACAGUCGGAAACGGCUGCUAAUACCGCAUAAUGCAGCGGCUCGACAUCGAGACAGUUGUUAAAGCGGGGGAUCGCAAGACCUCGCGCCUGAAGAGAAGCCUGCGGCAGAUUAGCUAGUUGGUAGGGUAAUGGCCUACCAAGGCAACGAUCUGUAACCGGCCUGAGAGGGCGGUCGGUCACACUGACACUGACAUACGGGUCAGACUCCUACGGGAGCAGCAGUCGGGAAUUUUGGGCAAUGGGACGAAAGCCUGACCCAGCAACGCCGCGUGAAGGAUAGAAAUAUUUCGGUAUGUAAACUUCGAAAGAAUAGGAAGAAUUAAUGACGGU
RNAcentral lists this ribosomal RNA (450 nucleotides) under uncultured bacterium. Its description in RNAcentral is "bacterial SSU rRNA". It matches the Rfam family "Bacterial small subunit ribosomal RNA", at positions 32 to 476 of the family's 1533-position model. The record is from RNAcentral.